Molecule: ribosomal RNA, 440 nt
Filed under: uncultured bacterium
Lineage: Bacteria
Description: bacterial SSU rRNA
Rfam family: Bacterial small subunit ribosomal RNA
Source: RNAcentral
CCUACGGGGGGCAGCAGUGGGGGAUAUUAGGCAAUGGGGGAAACCCUGACCUAGCGACGCCGCGUGAGGGAAGAAGGUCUUCGGAUUGUAAACCUCUGUCUUCGGGGACGAUAAUGACGGUACCCGAGGAGGAAGCUCCGGCUAACUACGUGCCAGCAGCCGCGAUAAUACGUAGGGAGCAAGCGUUAUCCGGAUUUAUUGGGUGUAAAGGGUGCGUAGGCGGGAAGCCAAGUUGAAUGUGAAAUACCGUAGCUCAACUACGGGGCUGCGUUCAAAACUGGUUUUCUUGAGUACAGCAGAGGUAAGCGGAAUUCCCAGUGUAGCGGUAAUAUGCGUAGAUAUUGGGAGGAACACCAGUGGCGAAGGCGGCUUACUGGGCUGAAACUGACGCUGAGGCACGAAAGUGUGGGGAGCAAACAGGAUUAGAUACCCUAGUAGUC